UGCGCGAGUGGCGGAAUUGGUAGACGCGCACGGUUCAGGUCCGUGUGCUCGUGAGAGCGUGGGGGUUCAAGUCCCCCUCGCGCAC
This 85-nucleotide transfer RNA is filed under the name Brachybacterium sp. Z12. RNAcentral's name for it is "tRNA-Leu". It matches the Rfam family "tRNA". Rfam says of the family: Transfer RNA (tRNA) molecules are approximately 80 nucleotides in length. Lineage: Bacteria; Bacillati; Actinomycetota; Actinomycetes; Micrococcales; Dermabacteraceae. The record is from RNAcentral.